AUGCUCUUCACCGAGACGGCCCACUUCGUGGUGAAUUUUCUUCUGUACCGGCGCCCCCGGGCCACUCUCCCGUACCGCCUGGACCAGGAGUUGUGUUUCUGGGGCUGCCGGGGCCCGGCCUUGCCGCCUGUCGCCACCCGCAGCAGCCUGGGCGAUUACUGGCUGAGCCCGCAGCGCCGGCGCCCACCGGGCGCCACCUGGCGCUGGCCCGCUCGCAAUAUGCUGCUACUGCCAGGGGCCACCGGGCUGGCGGAUAUACCCUCGGCGCGCUGGCCCAGCUGCUACGGCGUUCGCCCGCGCCUCACGUGGAAGCACCGGUGGCAGAAUAUUAACUACCAGUAUCUGGGCAAGAGGAAGAGACAUCUAGUUCCUCUGCGCCCGUGAGAGCCGCCAACAGAUAUUUAUGGAGCCCCCCCUCAUUUGGAAAGUGAACUUGAGGCAGAAGAGAAUGGCUGGAGGGGCUGGACUUGUGUAGAGAGUCAAGCAAGAAGGCUGAUGAAGUAGCCCAGGUCCAGGUGAGAAGGGUUGGUUGUGGAGGUGAUGAGCUGAGGGAGCCGGCCUGGUGAUACAGCCCAGGUUCCUGGUUUGGGCAACUGAAUAGUGGGAACCUCGAGCCCAGAAGUGAGGAGUGGGUGGUGGGAGACCCAUCCCUUCCCCCUGGAGAAUCUGGAAAGUCCCUGGGAGUGGGUGGAUCUAAGUCUGAACAGAAGAGUAGAAAGUCAGCAAGUGAAAAGUGGAGAGAGGCAUUCUAGGCAGAGGGAAGAGCCUAUUCAAAGGCCCUGAGGUGCGAGAAACUUAGCACUCUGAGAAACUAAAGGGCCAGGAGAGGCAAAGAUCAGCAGGCCAAGGACAAAGAGGAAGGAAGCGAGGCUGGGAGCCUGAUCUCUGGGACACAACCUGGAGCCUUGCCACCGUUCCCCACAGGUGGUAGGGCUCCCUCUGCAGACAGAUAGGAGAGCAGGAGAAUGUGAGGAGGGGCUGGGAGGGGAUGGACAGAUGAGGUGUGUGUUGGAGGGGGGUCCGGAGUAUGUCUUUUCUGGGAAAAGUCACUAAAAGGAGGUUCCUGGGGGACAUUUUUGGGGUGUGAGAAGAAGAGAGUCUUCAGGGUUCUGGGGAGGGACAGAUUCCUUUACCAUUUAAGGAACUGACUGAGGUGUUCCUAUCAUGGCUGAGCUGAAACGAAUCUGACUAGCAUUCACAAGGACACAGGUUCGAUCCCUGGCCUUGCUCAGUGGGUUAAGGAUCCGGUGUUGCCUUGAGCUGUGGUGUCGGUGGCAGACGGCUCAGAUCUGAUGUUGCUGGUGCUGUGGCUGUGUC
Molecule: long non-coding RNA, 1317 nt
Filed under: Sus scrofa (pig)
Lineage: Eukaryota; Metazoa; Chordata; Mammalia; Artiodactyla; Suidae
Description: lncRNA (ENSSSCG00005035939.1)
Source: RNAcentral